RNAcentral lists this ribosomal RNA (301 nucleotides) under uncultured bacterium. RNAcentral describes it as "partial 16S ribosomal RNA". It matches the Rfam family "Bacterial small subunit ribosomal RNA", at positions 509 to 807 of the family's 1533-position model. The record is from RNAcentral.
CAGCCGCCGCGGGAAUACGUAGGGUGCGAGCGUUAAUCGGAAUUACUGGGCGUAAAGCGUGCGCAGGCGGUUGUGUAAGACAGGUGUGAAAUCCCCGGGCUUAACCUGGGAACUGCGCUUGUGACUGCACAGCUAGAGUAUGGCAGAGGGGGGUGGAAUUCCACGUGUAGCAGUGAAAUGCGUAGAGAUGUGGAGGAACACCGAUGGCGAAGGCGGCUCACUGGCCCGAUACUGACGCUGAGGCACGAAAGCGUGGGGAGCAAACAGGAUUAGAGACCCGCGUAGUCCCUGUCUCUUAUAC